CGAGAGGAACCGUUGAUUCGC
RNAcentral lists this non-coding RNA (21 nucleotides) under Arabidopsis thaliana (thale cress). Lineage: Eukaryota; Viridiplantae; Streptophyta; Magnoliopsida; Brassicales; Brassicaceae. The record is from RNAcentral.